AACGAACGCUGGCGGCGCGCCUAAUACAUGCAAGUCGAGCGAGAAGACGUAGCAAUACGUUUGUAAAGCGGCGAACGGGUGAGGAAUACAUGGGUAACCUACCCUCGAGUGGGGAAUAACUAGCCGAAGGUUAGCUAAUACCGCGUACGCUCCUUGGACUUCGGUUCAGGGAGGGAAAGCGAUACCGUGGGUAUCGCGCUCUUGGAUGGGCUCAUGUCCUAUCAGCUUGUUGGNGAGGUAACGGCUCACCAAGGCUUCGACGGGUAGCUGGUCUGAGAGGACGAUCAGCCACACUGGCACUGCGACACGGGCCAGACUCCUACGGGAGGCAGCAGUAAGGAAUAUUGCGCAAUGGGCGAAAGCCUGACGCAGCGACGCCGC
This 381-nucleotide ribosomal RNA is filed under the name uncultured bacterium. RNAcentral's name for it is "bacterial SSU rRNA". It matches the Rfam family "Bacterial small subunit ribosomal RNA", at positions 29 to 400 of the family's 1533-position model. The record is from RNAcentral.